UACGAGGGGGGCAAGCGUUGUUCGGAAUUAUUGGGCGUAAAGGGUGCGUAGGCGGUCUGACAAGUCUGAUGUGAAAUCUAUGGGCUCAACCCAUAGUCUGCAUCGGAAACUGUCGGGCUUGAGUAUGGGAGAGGUGAGUGGAAUUGGUAGUGUAGCAGUGAAAUGCGUAGAUAUUACCAGGAACACCAAUGGCGAAGGCAGCUUGCUGGGCCACUCCUGACACUGAGGUACGAAAGCGUGGGGAGCGAACAGG
This 253-nucleotide ribosomal RNA is filed under the name uncultured bacterium. RNAcentral's name for it is "partial 16S ribosomal RNA". It matches the Rfam family "Bacterial small subunit ribosomal RNA", at positions 524 to 776 of the family's 1533-position model. The record is from RNAcentral.